CAUAGUGAAGUCAAAUUCAGCCCCAGUCCCAUUACACCAGUAACUGACCCAAACGGCUGCCACAUGCCCUAGAACCCGGGGAUAAGUUUGUCUGCAGACAGGG
This is a small nucleolar RNA of Panthera pardus (leopard), 103 nucleotides long. NCBI's taxonomy places the organism in Eukaryota, Metazoa, Chordata, Mammalia, Carnivora, Felidae. The record is from Ensembl.